CUGAAAAAUUUGUAUAAAAUGAGUUACUUCGGUUUUCGCUUUAGAAUAAGUGUAUCAGCACCUAUCAAACAGCUUUUAGAGCUGGGAAAGCCUUUUGGAAGCCUUCCUGAAACUUUCCCAGCUGUAUAUAAACUGCUGUAUAUAAACUAAAAUAACUGCUGAUAAACUUAUUCUAAAGCGAAAACUGAAGUAACUCAUGUUAUAAAAAAUUUUCAGUUUUGCCUUUCCGCCGUCGAUAUGCAAAUAUUUUACUUACAUUUUUGAAGAAAGUCUCAAAAUAAACUUUGAAGAGAUAUUUAUCUGAUUUUGGUAUUUAUGUAAGUGCUCUAUAUCAUCCUCAUGCCUAUAAUGUGUUUUAAAACAGUUUCAAUAUUUUUAUAGCUUUUAAAGAUUUUAAAGCUCUUUCUCUAUCUUCUUUUGAAAAAUAAUUUUUUGAGGAUCACAUACAUAUACAUUCAUAAUAAGAUGUUUCAUGUUCUUGUACUCUGUUCUCUUCCUGUGCCAUCCAUACAGUGCAAAUCUAAAAAAACAACAUAACAGGUGAUUACACGGGCAGUUAUACUACUUACAGCUUACUUUGUAUCUAAUCUAUUAUAUCUAGUAUUACUCUAUUAGUAUCUACCUACAUAAAACUAUCUUUGAAAUCUAAAUUUUUGAUAUCAACAUCAACCUUAAUACUUUAAAAAUAAAUAAUAUUGUGGAAGUUACACGUACCUACCUAAAAGUUUUUGAAUUGCAAUUUUAUCAACUGGAAAAGACUUCAACAUAAUGAGUUUUAAAUUAUGACAAAGCACAAUAUUUAUUGUUUCAAUUUACGUGUAAAUAAAAUAAUAAUAAUCUUAAUCACUUGUAAAAGUAAGGUUAAGAUUUUUGACUUGAGAAAACAGAACUGUCAAAUUUAAAACCAAACUGCUAUAAAAUUUUAAAAUUCCCGCUAAAAGGAAUCUGGCAACAUUGCCGUCGUUUGCUGGGAGAGAUUAAAUAUCCAGCACGCAACCGCGCUGUUGCCAGAUUUACAUAGCGGGAAUUUUAAAAUUUCUAAUGCGAAUUGGUUUAAAAUUUGACAUCCGAAUCUUAACCUUACUUUUGUGAUUAUUUAUUUACAAAUGUAAAUAAAUUAAAACAAGUAUUGUAUGUACUGUGUUAUAAUUUAAAACGCUUAAUUAUGUUAGUCCUAAAAAGAUUAAGCCCAAAAGAGAUAUACUUGUUUACAGUGCAAAUUAAUGGCAAUAGGGAUUUACGAUUUCAUUUGCAGGAAAAACAUGGGCAACCUACCCAGUUGGUAAAAUUUCAAUUCAAAAACUCUUUAGAUUUUACUGUGUGGAUGGCACAGGAAGAGAAACAAAAUAAUAUUCAGUACUGCAGUCACAGGAGUACAAAAACAUGAAGCAUCUUAUUAUGUAUGUAUGCCAUUCUCAAACAAUAAUUAUUGUACAAAACAAGAUAAAGAUAGAGACACAGCUUUAAAAUCCCGAGGAUCCUGCGAAAAGAAAAGUGAAAAUGUCUCAAUUAAUGUAGUAUAGAUAGACAUUUUUCUUUAUUUUAGUAUUAAAUAAUUAUUUAGAAUAUUAAUAGUAUUAUGUAUGUAAUGUAUUAGUUUUAAUAGUAUUAAUAUGUAUUAGUUUUAAUAGUAUUAAUAUGUAUUGUAUGAAUAAUUCCCAUCAUGUAUCUGCUAACUAAAGCAACAAAAUAAAUCAAAAUGAAAAAACAUUUCAGUGACGUAGCACCUUUACUUUACCUGGCGGCGAGGUGAGUUAUUAGGUAAAUUCUAUUUUCUUACAUAAUAUACUUAAAAAUUAAUGGUGGUAUUAUUGUGGUUUAUAUUGAAAGCUAAAGCAAUUAAAAUAAUUUUUUCUGUUAAUUAUUUAACACAUUCACAGACACGACUGCAUAUGAAGUCAUUUGCUCCAUAAGAAGACGUGGCUACAGGCAAAGCGUGUCCGUAAAUGUGUUAAUAAUAAUAAUUUUACAUCUAUUGUGUUACACAUACAUUUUACUAUUAAAGACAAUUAUGAAAAUGUCAAAAACGCCCACAAAGUGGCUUUAAGUUUUAUUACACAGUAUGUGGACUUCAAAUAGGACGAUUAUGUUAAGUAUGAGCAGAACAAAGACUAACAAUUAAUGUUUUAUUGUCAUAGGUUGUCUUUUUUCAUUAUAUUUAAUGCAGCUUUCUUUAAAAUUCAGUAAUCCAUAUAUUUCAAAUCCUUUAACUGACCAGCCAACAGAGUGAAGUCUAAAUGACAUGUUUUUUUAGUCUUAAUUGGUAGGAGACCUAAACAUGACCAAAAUAUGAUGUCAGGUUUAAUGACCAAUUUGCCAUCAAUAGGGCUUUUCAUCGAUUGUCAUUUGUUUCGAGCUCCUGUCAUGUGUCAUACAAUAUUAAUAUAUUUACGCCAUACGUCUUUGAUUUGUAUCAUUGGUAUUACCAAUAACGUAUGACGUAUAUAUAUUAAUAUUAUGUGACACAUGACAGAAGCUCAAAACAAAUGACUGUGAAUAAAAAGCCCUAUUCAUCACAUCUAACUUGAAUGACAUUAAAUUGAGCAAUUAGUGGCAACGUUUUAUUGUGGUAAUUUUGUGACGUAAGACAUCUUUAUGACAUGUAUUUACGUCAUAUUCAAUUGACAUCUGUAUUACAUCAAGUUAGUUUUUGGGUGUACACAACUAAACAACAGUUUUUUUAUUGAUAGGUUUAUUUCGUUAAAUCAAAAAAAUGAAUAUAAUUAAAAUAAGAUAAGAAUAACAAAUAUGAUUUGCUACCUACAAAUGUGUUAGGGCUAAAAAAUAUAGUAUUUUUACUACAAAAGCGAUAUUACGUAGGUUAAAAUUUUUGACGUAAGAUAACUGUCAAAACAUCAGAUUGUGACUUUUCAUUAUUGCCAUGUUUAUAAUAAAAUGACAAUAAUGAAAAGUCACAUUCUAAUGUUUUGACAGUUCUCUUACGUCAAAAAUUUUGACCUACGUAAUAUCGCUUUUGUAGUAAAAAUACUAUACAUAAAACAUGACAUUACACACUUUGACCUAAAUCUAAACUAAAAAGUUAUUAUUGUUAUAAUCGGAGUUAAAAAAUAUAGUAACAAAAUUUAUGAACAGGUUUAACCUUCCGAUGACCAACCUUUUUUUUGUUACACGGAUGACCAAGGGGGGGGGGAGGAAAUGGUCAAAAAUAACAUUUAACAAAAAAAUGAAGUUUUUUUUUUAUUUUUUUUAAAUUUUUUUUAUGGCAUGGACUUUAUGUCAUUCAGCCAGUCACAACAUGAGUAUUAGUGUCAUGUGUAGUGUGUAUGUUGAGUAAGUGCCUUGUUACUUUGCAAAGUCGACGUCAUUAGCGUAACACUACUUGGAAUUACACAUAAUAGACGCUAUUUUACUAAACAUCAACUUCAGAAUAUAUUUUUUAUUCGUAAAAUAUAGGGAAUUCUUUUUAUUUCAAAAUAUGAGGAUAUCUAGAAUGAUAUUAAAGUCAAAUAAAAAAAUAAUGAGUUAAAAAUUGAAAAUACUUUUGAAUUUAUUAAAGAAAAACAUAAGCUGGGGUCACAAUUUCCCCCGCUUGGUCAUCCGAAGGUUAAGACUGUUCAAUAAAGUAAUUCCUAGCUAUAAAAAUAGUUUUUACUUAUUAUAUUAUAUCGAUAUAUUUUU
Molecule: long non-coding RNA, 3639 nt
Filed under: Diabrotica virgifera virgifera (western corn rootworm)
Lineage: Eukaryota; Metazoa; Arthropoda; Insecta; Coleoptera; Chrysomelidae
Description: uncharacterized LOC126892641
Source: RNAcentral